Molecule: non-coding RNA, 1607 nt
Organism: Cricetulus griseus (Chinese hamster)
Lineage: Eukaryota; Metazoa; Chordata; Mammalia; Rodentia; Cricetidae
Source: RefSeq, a predicted model, not a curated record
CCCAAUCUCCCAGCUUCUCCGCCGCAAAAUUCAUUGCGCUCCCCUGCCAGACGGUGGAGCUAGAGAGCCUCGUACAGGUCGGGGUCCUCCGGUUCAGGUUUGAGGCAGGGCUGACUCAACCCUCCAGGGAUGACACAGCAGGGCUGACUAGUGUGGCCUGCUAGCAACAGCUGCAUUUAUUGAAUAAUUGGCUAAUUCUUUACUUUUUUUUCAUUUAACUUUAACGACCUAUUACAAGUAGCGCGUUGGAAGGUUCAGACAGCUGCAAGCUCCGUCAAGAAAUCACUGUGAUAAGGCAGGGCGAUGUCACCAACCCCUAACCAAGAAAUUAAAAUCUCUUGCGAUCUUCUAAGUGUCCCUGGGCUCACCGCCCAGUGGGGCUGCCGCAGGCCCCUCCUCCCUCCCUGCGGUCAGCUGGGACUUCUGCGGGGGCUGAUCACAUUCAGUCACGCAGAGGCUCCGCCCACUUCCUGGCCAAUCACUGCACUGCCCUCUCCCUCCUUCGCUGCUGCAAGCACCAAAUGGAUACCCGCGCCUUUAGCCCGCCAUCUCAAGGGUUUAAGGGCUUGGGUAGUGACUUCCACAGGAAGAAGAUUCGGAGCUUGUGAAUCUAAAGCUGGCAUUGUUAGAAAGAAAUGUGGUUGGCUGACUUGCUGGUAGAGCUGGCUUCUUUACCUCCCGAGGCUCUGCGCUCAUAUCACAGGCACAAAAACCGGACUGAAAGUCCCUAUUGUCACCGCUUCUGCCUAUUUGGAGGUGGGGGGUGGGGGGAAGUCCGCCUGAUGUCAGUGUCUGUGUAAUGAAACGUCCAACCAUUUCCCUGCUACCCCCACCCCUCCUAGCACUUCCAGGACUACUUUCUGGCAGCUGCCGGUUAUCUCUGUGCGGUGUAUUAGAUUUCCGGUCGGCAGGGGCCAAGCCUUCGCAGCCCUUGAAACCUGAGCCCUUUCUAUAUUGUAAUUAAUGCAAUGGAGAGUCCGGCAUUAAUGAUCUAGAGGACAACUGCUCCCCACCACCACCUCUAACACACACACACACACACACACACACACACACACACACACACACACACACACACACACACACUUUCGCAGCAUCUCACUGGAUCUAGACCAUAGGUGGCCAGGCACGUGCCCAGGCAGGUGCCCUUGUUAUCCCCACUCUACAGAUAAGGAAAUAAGAGGCCCAAGUCACCUGCCUGGAAUGCAGUAGAACCAUUCUGAUCAAAUACCCGACAAAGGCGACGUAAGGAAGGGAGGGCUUGUUUUUGGCGCACAGUUUAAGGCGAGGUCAAGCAUGGUGGAGAAGGAACAGCAGCUGGAAGGCACCAAUCACAUCUCCAGACGGCAAAUUGAUUAGCAGGCUUGGAAAACCGAUUGACCAAAGGGAAGCACAAAGUAAUGCCAAAAACACUAUCUGCUGGGGCAACUUCUAAUCCAGGGCAGGAGAGCAAAGAUCUUUGGACUGGGGGCUGAGGGGAAAGAGUGAAACUUGGAGAUUUCCAAAGGACUAGCAACUAGGCCUUGAAAGAAGGUCUUUAUAAAUGAAUUGUACCCCCACCUUUAAAAAGAUAAGUAGAUGUCUUUUGAAAAGAUACGUGAUUUAUA